UACAGAGGGUGCGAGCGUUGUUCGGAAUUACUGGGCGUAAAGCGCGCGCAGGCGGCCUUUUAAGUCUGACGGUGAAAUGCCGGGGCUCAACCCCGUUGCAUGCCGCGGAUACUGGGAGGCUGGAGACAAGUAGAGGCAAGCGGAAUUCCGGGUGUAGCGGUGGAAUGCGCAGAGAUCCGGAAGAACACCGGAGGCGAAGGCGGCUUGCUGGGCUUGGUCUGACGCUGAGGCGCGAAAGCGUGGGGAGCGAACAGG
RNAcentral lists this ribosomal RNA (255 nucleotides) under uncultured bacterium. RNAcentral describes it as "partial 16S ribosomal RNA". It matches the Rfam family "Bacterial small subunit ribosomal RNA", at positions 524 to 776 of the family's 1533-position model. The record is from RNAcentral.